Molecule: ribosomal RNA, 301 nt
Filed under: uncultured bacterium
Lineage: Bacteria
Description: partial 16S ribosomal RNA
Rfam family: Bacterial small subunit ribosomal RNA
Source: RNAcentral
CAGUAGCCGCGGGAAUACGUAGGGUGCAAGCGUUAAUCGGAAUUACUGGGCGUAAAGCGUGCGCAGGCGGUUAUAUAAGACAGAUGUGAAAUCCCCGGGCUCAACCUGGGAACUGCAUUUGUGACUGUAUAGCUAGAGUACGGCAGAGGGGGAUGGAAUUCCGCGUGUAGCAGUGAAAUGCGUAGAUAUGCGGAGGAACACCGAUGGCGAAGGCAAUCCCCUGGGCCUGCACUGACGCUCAUGCACGAAAGCGUGGGGAGCAAACAGGAUUAGAUACCCCAGUAGUCCCUGUCUCUUAUAC